RNAcentral lists this ribosomal RNA (966 nucleotides) under Triticum aestivum (bread wheat). Its description in RNAcentral is "partial small subunit ribosomal RNA". The record is from RNAcentral. Lineage: Eukaryota; Viridiplantae; Streptophyta; Magnoliopsida; Poales; Poaceae.
AUGCAGGGCGCCCCCGAGAGGAGGAGCAGGGCUUCGCCUGAAAAGGCCAACGAGAGCUCUAAUAAGGCGCGGCUGGACCUUCCCGACGGCCACAUGAAGCAAGAGGCGGCCGGUGGAGGAGAUGGAGGCACCAUCGUUGGGGCGGCGUACAUCCAGCGAGUGGAACUCGCCGUGAGGAUCUACAAGCAAGUCCUCCACUGCCCCCUGUGCACCCUCCCCUUCAAGCCUCCGUGCAAAGCGGGGCACUCGGCUUGUGGCGGCUGUGUUGCCCUGCUGCCCUUCGGGCAGUGCAAGGCAUGCAUGGACGGCGGCGGUUUCUUUGACCCCUGCCCUGCGCUGGACGCCGUGGUGUCCUCCACCAGGAUCAGGUGCCCCAACGCCGGCUGCCAGUGGUACGUGACCUACCAUGAGGUCGCCGAGCACCAGAAAGCAUGCCCGCACGCGCCUUGCCGGUGCAUUGAGCCUGGUUGCGGCUACGUCAGCGCGCCGCAGUCGCUCGCCGGUCACCUCCAUACUGUCCACUUGGUGCCGGUGCGUGAUGUGCAGUAUGGCAAGGUCAUCAAGCUAAAUCUACCGGUGUCGACCAGGUGGAUGGUGCUCCUCGGCGACGACAACUGCGUGUUCCUCAUGAUCGUGGGCGCGCUCGCUGCCGGCGUGACCGCCGUGUCUGCGGUGUGCGCCAGGGCGAGAGCGGUGGCGCGACCGCGGUUCAUGUGUAAGAUGUGGGUCAACCUGGAGACACCCUUGGUAGCAGUGGCGAACUGCGGCAAGGAGGACAUGGUGCUCGUGGACAUGCACAUGAGGAGUAGCUCAACGCCCGGCGCCGUGGUCAUUGCGGGCGAGCCCACGUUCCUGACGGUGCCGCCAAUGUACCUGGUGCCAGCAGCAGGAGACAGAGCAUCCAUGGAAGUUCCCCUGCACAUCCGCAUCGAUAAGCUCUCCCCUUGGUCUGAAACAUUGGUGUGA